CUUCCGUAGGGUGAACCUGCGGAAGGAUCAUUAAAGAGUAAGGGUGCUCAGCGCCCGACCUCCAACCCUUUGUUGUUAAAACUACCUUGUUGCUUUGGCGGGACCGCUCGGUCUCGAGCCGCUGGGGAUUCGUCCCAGGCGAGCGCCCGCCAGAGUUAAACCAAACUCUUGUUAUUAAACCGGUCGUCUGAGUUAAAAUUUUGAAUAAAUCAAAACUUUCAACAACGGAUCUCUUGGUUCUCGCAUCGAUGAAGAACGCAGCGAAAUGCGAUAAGUAAUGUGAAUUGCAGAAUUCAGUGAAUCAUCGAAUCUUUGAACGCACAUUGCGCCCCUUGGUAUUCCGAGGGGCAUGCCUGUUCGAGCGUCAUUACACCACUCAAGCUAUGCUUGGUAUUGGGUGCCGUCCUUAGUUGGGCGCGCCUUAAAGACCUCGGCGAGGCCUCACCGGCUUUAGGCGUAGUAGAAUUUAUUCGAACGUCUGUCAAAGGAGAGGACUUCUGCCGACUGAAACCUUUUAUUUUUCUAGGUUGACCUCGGAUCAGGUAGGGAUACCCGCUGAACUUAAGCAUAUCAAUAAGUCGGAGGAAAAG
RNAcentral lists this ribosomal RNA (590 nucleotides) under Aureobasidium pullulans. Its description in RNAcentral is "eukaryotic LSU rRNA". The stretch from base 214 to 367 matches the Rfam family "5.8S ribosomal RNA". The record is from RNAcentral. Lineage: Eukaryota; Fungi; Ascomycota; Dothideomycetes; Dothideales; Saccotheciaceae.